UUCAUAAUUGUUACAAAGUAUUGUCUGCAUGUGUCUGCUUUGUAACCAGUAUAUCCUGCAUCUGCAUGUGUCUGCUGUUGCCAACAAGUUCUGUCUGCUGUUGCCAUAUUGAUAAAACGAACUUCCCAAGUUUUAGUGCUGCACAGUAUUGGUUGGUCAUACACCUAUCGUUAACCUAGUGUGAUAUUAUUUGUUAAUGCCUGUAUACUUCAGAUGUUAACAGUUCGCCGGCAUGGUGCUGUAUAUGCUCUCUAUUUGCCUCUGAAUUUAUGUAUUUGUUUUUUCUUCAGCUUUACAAGACCAAGGAUGACAAGUACCUGCUAGAUAUGCAGAGAGUUACUGGACCUCAGCUCCUCUUCCUGGAUUUUUGCGCGGCCUUCCUUACCAACCUUAGGGUUCUAUAGUAUGGUGCCUGUUCUGGUUGAGUGAUGAAUAGUGAGACAUAUGACCGUCAGCGAUGAAUAAGUUGGUGCCUGUUCUGGUUGAGUGAUGAAUAGUGAGACAUGUGACUGUCAGAGAUGAAUAAGUGAUGGUGUGUAAAUAGGUGGUGUGUUUCAUCUUCGUUUUACCCAGUCCCUGACAGCGAACCGUGUUGUUUGGGUGACUAGUCCUGUGUGAAGCACCAAAAGUGUUGUUUGGGUGACUAGUCCUGUGUGAAGCACCAAAAGGUUAAGUGGUUGUUAUAAAUAAGACUUAUAUGGUAAAUAGGCGGUGCAAAGG
RNAcentral lists this long non-coding RNA (720 nucleotides) under Triticum aestivum (bread wheat). RNAcentral's name for it is "long non-coding RNA (TAES_LNC001271)". Lineage: Eukaryota; Viridiplantae; Streptophyta; Magnoliopsida; Poales; Poaceae. The record is from RNAcentral.